GAUGAACGCUGGCGGCGUGCCUAAUACAUGCAAGUCGAGCGAACAGACGAGGAGCUUGCUCCUCUGACGUUAGCGGCGGACGGGUGAGUAACACGUGGAUAACCUACCUAUAAGACUGGGAUAACUUCGGGAAACCGGAGCUAAUACCGGAUAAUAUAUUGAACCGCAUGGUUCAAUAGUGAAAGACGGUUUUGCUGUCACUUAUAGAUGGAUCCGCGCCGCAUUAGCUAGUUGGUAAGGUAACGGCUUACCAAGGCAACGAUGCGUAGCCGACCUGAGAGGGUGAUCGGCCACACUGGAACUGAGACACGGUCCAGACUCCUACGGGAGGCAGCAGUAGGGAAUCUUCCGCAAUGGGCGAAAGCCUGACGGAGCAACGCCGCGUGAGUGAUGAAGGGCUUCGGAUCGUAAAACUCUGUUAUUAGGGAAGAACAAAUGUGUAAGUAACUAUGCACGUCUUGACGGUACCUAAGCAGAAAGCCACGGCUAACUACGU
This 496-nucleotide ribosomal RNA is filed under the name uncultured bacterium. Its description in RNAcentral is "partial 16S ribosomal RNA". It matches the Rfam family "Bacterial small subunit ribosomal RNA", at positions 28 to 506 of the family's 1533-position model. The record is from RNAcentral.